AGAGUUUGAUCCUGGCUCAGAACGAACGUUAGCGGCGCGCUUAACACAUGCAAGUCGCACGAGAAAGGGCUUCGGCCCCGGUAAAGUGGCGCACGGGUGAGUAACACGUGGAUAAUCUUCCCUUGAGCGGGGGAUAACAUUCCGAAAGGAGUGCUAAUACCGCAUAAGACCACGUCCUCGAAAGAGGAUGAGGUAAAAGCCGGCCUCUAUACAUAAGCUGGCACUCGAGGAUGAGUCCGCGGCCCAUCAGCUAGUUGGCAGGGUAACGGCCUACCAAGGCAACGACGGGUAGCUGGUCUGAGAGGAUGAUCAGCCACACUGGAACUGACACACGGUCCAGACUCCUACGGGAGGCAGCAGUGGGGAAUCUUGCGCAAUGGACGAAAGUCUGACGCAGCGACGCCGCGUGGGUGAUGAAGGCCUUCGGGUUGUAAAGCUCUGUGGGGCGGGACGAAUAAGUGUAGCCUAAUACGCUGCAUGAUGACGGUACCGCCUUAGCAAGCACCGGCUAACUCUGUGCCAGCAGCCGCGGUAAGACAGAGGGUGCAAACGUUGUUCGGAAUUACUGGGCGUAAAGCGUGUGUAGGCGGCUAUGCAAGUCGGAUGUGAAAGCCCCAGGCUUAACCUGGGAAGUGCACCCGAAACUGCAUGGCUUGAGUAUCGGAGAGGUUGGUGGAAUUCUCGGUGUAGAGGUGAAAUUCGUAGAUAUCGAGAGGAACACCGGUGGCGAAAGCGGCCAACUGGACGAAUACUGACGCUGAGACACGAAAGCGUGGGGAGCAAACAGGAUUAGAUACCCUGGUAGUCCACGCCGUAAACGAUGGGUGCUAGGUGUCACGGGCUUUGACUCCUGUGGUGCCGUAGCCAACGCAUUAAGCACCCGCCUGGGAAGUACGGCCGCAAGGCUAAACUCAAAGGAAUUGACGGGGCCCGCACAAGCGGUGGGAGUAUG
Molecule: ribosomal RNA, 952 nt
Filed under: uncultured bacterium
Lineage: Bacteria
Description: bacterial SSU rRNA
Rfam family: Bacterial small subunit ribosomal RNA
Source: RNAcentral